This is an RNA transcript of Nannospalax galili (Upper Galilee mountains blind mole rat), 1371 nucleotides long. It is a transcript of the gene named abl interactor 1-like, with no coding region annotated. The record is from RefSeq and is a predicted model, not a curated record. Lineage: Eukaryota; Metazoa; Chordata; Mammalia; Rodentia; Spalacidae. The transcript has 4 exons.
AUGCAGACUUUGAAGCUGGAGAAACAGAGAACACUGUGGGACACAGAAAGGGUAUACAGCAGGUGGAAGAGAGUUAACCAGAACCUGACCCGGGUGGCAAGCUACUGUGAAAACAACUAUGUACGGGCUACAGAAAAGAGAAAAAACUCUAGAAGAGACCAAAGUGUAUACAACCAAAUCUAGCUAGUGUUGCUUGUCAAAUAAACACACUGGCUUACAAAGUUCUCAUUGCUGGACGUCCAAGCCUCUCAGCUUCGGAGAAACAAAUUCCAUCAAUUCCAUCAAUUCCAUCUCACAGACUGUGGGUAUUCAUGAAGAAAAAGUGACUGGAAGAGAGACUGGUGUUUUUACAACAAAUAAGAGUACACCUAGAAAUUACAAAAUAAUAGCACCUGCAAAUAUGGAGCACCCUGUAAAGUACAUUCAGAAGCCUACUAACUAUGCAGUUCUGGAUGAAGUGGGCCAUGGAAUUAAGCUUGGAAAUAACCAGCCUGCAAGAACCAGCACGUUGUUGAAACCAAAUUCUCCUACUCAGAAGUCAUUGAGUCCUCCUCUGUUAGGUUGAAGACUGUGGUACAGAAUAUUCCUUAUAAAACCCUAGAACCUGUUAAACCCCCAACAGUUCCUAGUGACUACACAACUAGUCCCACAAGCUUGGAAGUCAAGCAUAGUGCAAGCAGGAUGGGUUCUUUAAGUCAGAGCCCCGGGACACAUAGUGGAAGCAGUGGAGGAAGUGGGAGUCGAGACAACAGUGGCCGCAGUAGCAUUGGUGUUUCCAUUGCUGUGACUCCAUCUCCCCCACCACUGUCGGUCCAGCCCCUGACUCAGCUCCUGGUUCCCACUAUGGCAGAAGAACCAGAGAGAUUUCUUGACACAACUCCACCUCCACCAGCACCUCCGCGUGUGGAUUAUGAAGAUGAGGAAGCUGCUAUAGUUCAGUACAGUGAUCCCUACGCAGAUGGGGAUCCAGCAUGGGCCCUCAAGAACUAUAUUGAGAAAGUUGUUGCAAUAUACUACUACUCAAAACACAAGGAUAAUGAGCCGUCAUUUAAGGAGGGUGCAAUCAUCUCUGCUAUAAAGAAGAAUGAGGACUGCUGAUUUGAAGGAGACUGUAAUCACAUGACUGGACUCUUCCCUGGGAACUAUGUUGACUCAAUCAUGCACUAAACUGAUAAGGUUGAAAUUGUGCCAGAUUUGGUGCAGAGAGCUCUGAGAAAACUUUUUCACUCUGAAUCAAAGGGCACCGGAGUAACUGGCUGGGUGCUGUUCUUCCUCUCACUUUUCUCUCCUGAAUGCAGUGGGAGAACUAGCACUGCUGAAGCUCGUGUGAAUGUGAGAAAUCCUGUCACCCCUUUAAGCUUAAUCAAGUAA